UACGGAGGGUGCGAGCGUUGUCCGGAAUCACUGGGCGUAAAGGGCGCGUAGGCGGUCGGGUAAGCGUGCGGUGAAAGCUUGGGGCUCAACCCCGAGUCGGCCGUGCGAACUGCUUGACUGGAGCACUGUAGAGGCAGGCGGAAUUCCGGGUGUAGCGGUGGAAUGCGUAGAGAUCCGGAAGAACACCGGUGGCGAAGGCGGCCUGCUGGGCAGUGGCUGACGCUGAGGCGCGACAGCGUGGGGAGCAAACGGG
Molecule: ribosomal RNA, 253 nt
Filed under: uncultured bacterium
Lineage: Bacteria
Description: partial 16S ribosomal RNA
Rfam family: Bacterial small subunit ribosomal RNA
Source: RNAcentral